UCCUGUUUUGCAUUCUUCACAAUGUCAUCUGUCAAAAGAGCAAUUCCAAACAAAAUAUUGUUUAAUUUUAUCAAAUUUCAAGUGGACGAUCAAGUUUUGUGUGAAAAAAAUGCUAAAAGUGUUUUUGGUCAAACUAAACAAGAGUGAUGGCGGCGGCAGCGUCAUCGUCGGUCUGGCCCGUUCCUGAUCGACUGGCCAAUACGACCGACGGAACAACUUCCUAUCCCGGGACGAUCCGUUGCAGAUCGGCAAGCGAAGAUCCUGCCGUGGUAGAUACAACAUUGUCUUCCAGACUACAAAAUACGCGAGACCUUAAACGAUGAUGGACUUGAGGCAGCAGGAGGAAGUUUCAUGUGACCACGAGUGGAGAAAGUCAUAUUUAUAAAAAAUGAAAAUAAAUGAGAAAAUAUGUAUCUA
Culex quinquefasciatus (southern house mosquito) is the source of this 417-nucleotide long non-coding RNA. RefSeq lists it as uncharacterized. The transcript has 2 exons. Lineage: Eukaryota; Metazoa; Arthropoda; Insecta; Diptera; Culicidae. The record is from RefSeq and is a predicted model, not a curated record.